RNAcentral lists this ribosomal RNA (293 nucleotides) under uncultured bacterium. RNAcentral describes it as "partial 16S ribosomal RNA". It matches the Rfam family "Bacterial small subunit ribosomal RNA", at positions 335 to 645 of the family's 1533-position model. The record is from RNAcentral.
UCUCCUACGGGACGCAGCAGUGGGGGAUAUUGCACAAUGGGGGAAACCCUGAUGCAGCGACGCCGCGUGGGGGAAGAAGCGCCUCGGCGCGUAAAGCCCUGUCAGCAGGGAAGAAAAUGACGGUACCUGAAGAAGAAGCCCCGGCUAACUACGUGCCAGCAGCCGCGGUAAUACGUAGGGGGCAAGCGUUAUCCGGAUUUACUGGGGGUAGAGGGGGCGCAGACGGCGAUGCAAGCCAGGAGUGAAAGCCUGGGGCCCAACCCCGGGACUGCUCUUGGAACUGCGUGGCCAGA